RNAcentral lists this long non-coding RNA (733 nucleotides) under Cricetulus griseus (Chinese hamster). RNAcentral describes it as "lncRNA (ENSCGRG00015033816.1)". The record is from RNAcentral. Lineage: Eukaryota; Metazoa; Chordata; Mammalia; Rodentia; Cricetidae.
UAGACAUACAGGGCACCAGUUUCUCGCUCAGAGUGUCACUAUCCUAAGCCUUAGAGGCCUGGAGGCAGACAGACAGGAGUUCCGGUCCUUCAUUGUGGUUUCCAGCCAAGCUUCAAAGACACUUUCUGCUACUCUCGGGUUCCAGAAUGAGGAAAACCUGGUUGCCACAUGUUCAGUUUGCCUAUAAUACAGCCCUAAAUGCCAAGUUUACUGUGUGUCUGGCAGUUGAUAGUGACAAAAGACCAACACAUGAUUCUUGGGCUGUCUAAUUAUCAGUUUUUCCCUUGGCUUUUACCCCUCCACACCUCCUUGGAUGACAUAAAUGUUAAGAAACAUAGACCCAGGAGAAUAGAAGAGAACAUCAGAGACAAAGAGAAGAGACAAGGUGUCAUUGUGUUCAUGUGUUGGCUAGGUUUAUGGAAAGGCAUCCUGUGGCCUUGGUUGUGUUUAUGGAAGAACAUCCUGUGUAUCACCAACAAAGAGGAAAAGAUAGUGUCUCAGUCUGACGAACUCCUGCCCUCUUCCCUUCAUCUCUCAUGUUUUGGGAUGUACCACCACACCCAGAGGUUUUCUUUUCCCCUUCAGUGCUAAGAAUUGAAUCUGGAGUCCCAAGCACACUGGAAAGUUCUUUACCAGUGAACAUCUUCAUCCUCCUGUGAUGUGACAAUUAGGGGAGGGGUUGCAGAAUAUAAUCAAAAGAGUCCUGGAUUCUUACCUGAAGUUUACAGCCGAC